AGCCCGGAGGCUUAACACAUGCAAGUCGGAGGGGCAGCGACGGGUAGACAAUACCGUGGUGGCGGACCGGCGCGAAGGGUGCGUAACGCGUGAGCAACAUCGCCCUAUACGAGGGGGAUAAUCCGAGGGAAACUUGGUCUAAUAUCCCAUAGUAUUUAGAGGAGGCAUCUUCUAUAAAUUAAAGCUUCGGUGGUAUAGGAUUGGCUCGCGUGACAUUAGCUAGAUGGUGAGGUAACGGCUCACCAUGGCAAUGAUGUCUAGGGGUUCUGAGAGGAAGGCCCCCCACACUGGGACUGAGACACGGCCCAGACUCCUACGGGAGGCAGCAGUGAGGAAUAUUGGACAAUGGAUGGAAAUCUGAUCCAGCCAUGCCGCGUGCAGGAAGACAGCCCUAUGGGUUGUAAACUGCUUUUAUAUGGGAGCAAUAAGGUCUACGUGUAGACUGAUGAGAGUACCAUAUGAAUAAGCAUCGGCUAACUCCGUG
Molecule: ribosomal RNA, 484 nt
Filed under: uncultured bacterium
Lineage: Bacteria
Description: bacterial SSU rRNA
Rfam family: Bacterial small subunit ribosomal RNA
Source: RNAcentral